GCCAAAAGGGCUGAAGCCUGUAAUCAGUCCUCAUGCAGAGUAGCACUUAUGCACACAAGCGGGCCCACAGAUUUUAAUUGAACUAUUUGAAUAAGAGCUAUUCAGCAUAUAGGAGGGUUGCAGAAUAUUGUCCACUAUGUUUGUUCCUUGGCAAAAGAUGUUGACUCCUAUGAGUUCAGCAGAGAGGCAACAGUUUCCCUUUAAGAGAGUAGCCGUUCAGCUUGAAAUAAGGGUUACACUUUACCUUUUUUACAGGAUUGUGGUAAAACCACAUACACAUUGCACCCGAUAUUUUUACUAGUCCCUACCAUUUUGCUUCAGGUAUGCUAGUGUAAUAGCUGUAGGACAUUUCUGAAACAGAUAGUGUUUCACAGCCAUUUCACCCAGGUAUCAAGAAUGAGACAAGAUACAUGGAAGUAAAGAAAACGGCAUUGUGAUUGUAAUUUAAGAGAAUUUUAUAUCUGCUUGGAAGAAGAGUAAGUGACUCCAUGAGUUACAAGACAGAAGAGAAUGUGGUGUAUUGAUUGCGUCAGUAAAAAAUUGCUCCAAGAUUUUUCACUUGCUGCUUGAACUGUUGAAAUUCUGCUGCACGAGGAGAGACAGUAACAUCUUCAGUGUAAAACCUGUCCCUUUUCAUUGAAAUGUAUGGGAGUUUUUCUGUUGACUUAACUGAAAGUAGACUUAGACACUGUUUGACAUUGCUCCCUGUUAUGGAAUAACAUGAAACUAUGUAUGCGUGGGUCUGUGUUGGCCAUAUAAGAAAGACAGUUCCCUUUGCCUGACCACGUGCAGAGGACAUGUAGUAAAGAAAAUGCAGAGACAUACAGCUAGGGCAAAGCUUGUUCUCAGCUGCAGCCACAGUGAUCUAGCACUAUCUCAAGUUUUCAGAGCAUCUAUCAUGUCUGUUAGGCUAUGUGUCUACAUAUAUCUUUAAACUGUGUUAUACACAAGCUGUGUCAGAAAGCAAGAUGAAUGUGAUAACGAUUGCCAUUGCUGGCUCUACUGUAUAUUGCUUAAGCCAUUGCCCUCCCUUGCACCCCCUAAGACCCAAGCCCAACACAUUUAACCUUUCCUGUGGUAAAAGACUCAAUGUGAUUCCACUUUCUCCUCUUAUAUAUAGACUAAAGUAUUUCUUUUGAAGACAGUUUUAAGAUGAUGAAGCACAAUUUUGCAUUGGUGUUUGCACUCUCCAGGGCCUUGCACAACACACCCUUCCCUGUGCUGACGGAGUGCUUCAGGAAGGGACGGGCCUCUGAAGCCAGCUGUGGACUACGUGCAUGAAUGAGGAACUGAGAAGAGAAAAAGCUGAAAAGAAUGUGAACAUAGAGAUCGCUCACCAGGAUACCCAUGCAUCCAAAAUCCGUUGAGUUGUAAGUUGGGUAAAUCAGAUUUUGAGACGAGAAGGAAAAUAUUGGUGGACCUCCAAUUACUUUUCACACAGCUAUUUUCAGGAGCCAUGAUAUGUGCAUACAUAUAUGAGAAAACAGUUUUUUGUUCAUCAGAGGACAGUUAUCCAUAAUAUAUUCACAGGCCUGCAGAGCCGUGAGCAGAUCCAGGCAAGCCUCCCACUGGAAGUGUAUUCUUUGCUUGAGCCAUGUCCAAGGUGUCAGACUCCCUACAGUUACAGUACGGCGACUUGAUACUGAGGACACAACUUCCUGCUUCUCUGACAGUGGCUUCAUUGUGUGUGCUAAGCAUUGUAAUAAGUGGACCUGCAUCACAGAAUCACAGAAUGGAUGAGGUUGGAAGGGACCUCUGGAGAUCAUCUAGUCCA
Non-coding RNA from Struthio camelus australis, 1774 nucleotides. The record is from RefSeq and is a predicted model, not a curated record. NCBI's taxonomy places the organism in Eukaryota, Metazoa, Chordata, Aves, Struthioniformes, Struthionidae.